RNAcentral lists this ribosomal RNA (247 nucleotides) under uncultured bacterium. Its description in RNAcentral is "partial 16S ribosomal RNA". It matches the Rfam family "Bacterial small subunit ribosomal RNA", at positions 113 to 353 of the family's 1533-position model. The record is from RNAcentral.
ACACGUAGGUAACCUGCCCAUGUGCCCGGGAUAACUUCUGGAAACGGAUGCUAAAACCGGAUAGGUAGCAGACAAGCAUUUGACUGCUAUUAAAGUGGCUAAGGCCAUGAACAUGGAUGGACCUGCGGUGCAUUAGCUAGUUGGUGAGGUAACGGCCCACCAAGGCGACGAUGCAUAGCCGGCCUGAGAGGGCGGACGGCCACAUUGGGACUGAGACACGGCCCAGACUCCUACGGGAGGCAGCAUG